GUAGAGAUGGCUCAAGGGUUAAGAGCACUGGCUGCUCUUCCAGAGGACCUGGGUUCAAUUCCCAGUACCUGCA
Molecule: non-coding RNA, 73 nt
Organism: Rattus norvegicus (Norway rat)
Lineage: Eukaryota; Metazoa; Chordata; Mammalia; Rodentia; Muridae
Source: Rfam